CCCGCGGUGCAUUAGCUAGUUGGUGAGGUAACGGCUCACCAAGGCCACGAUGCAUAGCCGACCUGAGAGGGUGAUCGGCCACAUUGGGACUGAGAUACGGCCCAGACUCCUACGGGAGGCAGCAGUGGGGAAUAUUGGGCAAUGGACGCAAGUCUGACCGAGCAACGCCGCGUGAGUGAAGAAGGUUUUCGGAUCGUAAAACUCUGUUGUUAGAGAAGAACAAGGAUGAGAGUGGAAAGUUCAUCCCUUGACGGUAUCUAACCAGAAAGCCACGGCUAACUAC
RNAcentral lists this ribosomal RNA (283 nucleotides) under uncultured bacterium. Its description in RNAcentral is "partial 16S ribosomal RNA". It matches the Rfam family "Bacterial small subunit ribosomal RNA", at positions 230 to 504 of the family's 1533-position model. The record is from RNAcentral.